CCCUGGUAGUCCACGCCGUAAACGAUGAGAACUAGAUGUUAGAGGGCUUCGGCUUUUUAGUAUCGCAGCUAACGCGAUAAGUUCUCCGCCUGGGGAGUACGGCCGCAAGGUUAAAACUCAAAGGAAUUGAUGGGGGCCCGCACAAGCGGUGGAGCAUGUGGUUUAAUUCGAUGCAACGCGAAGAACCUUACCUACCUUUGAAUCCACGGAAUCUUACAGAGAUGUGAGAGUGCCUUCGGGAACCGUGAGACAGGUGCUGCAUGGCUGUCGUCAGCUCGUGUCGUGAGAUGUUGGGUUAAGUCCCGUAACGAGCGCAACCCUUAUCCUUAGUUACCAACGAGAAAGACGGGUACUUUAAGGAGACUGCCGGUGAUAAACCGGAGGAAGGUGGGGAUGACGUCAAGUCCUCAUGGCCCUUACAGGUAGGGCUACACACGUGCUACAAUGGCCGGUACAAAGGGUUGCCAACCCGCGAGGGGGAGCCAAUCCCAAAAAGCCGGUCGUAGUCCGGAUUGGAGUCUGCAACUCGACUCCAUGAAGUUGGAAUCGCUAGUAAUCGUGGAUCAGCACGCCACGGUGAAUACGUUCCCGGGCCUUGUACACACCGCCCGUCACGCCAUGGGAGUGGGCUGUACCAGAAGCAGGUAGAC
Molecule: ribosomal RNA, 650 nt
Filed under: uncultured bacterium
Lineage: Bacteria
Description: bacterial SSU rRNA
Rfam family: Bacterial small subunit ribosomal RNA
Source: RNAcentral